GUGCAGCGCGCGGUAAUACUGAGGGUGCAAGCGUUGUCCGGAAUCACUGGGUGUAAAGGGUGUGCAGUCGGGGCAACAAGUCGGAGGUGAAAGCCCAUGGCUCAACCAUGGAAGUGCCUUCGAAACUGUUGCUCUUGAGUCCCGGAGAGGUUGUCGGAAUUCGUGGUGUAGCGGUGAAAUGCGUAGAUAUCACGAGGAACACCAGAGGCGAAAGCGGACAACUGGACGGGUACUGACGCUCAGGCACGAAAGCGUGGGGAGCAAACAGGAUUAGAAACCCCGGUAGUCC
This 289-nucleotide ribosomal RNA is filed under the name uncultured bacterium. Its description in RNAcentral is "partial 16S ribosomal RNA". It matches the Rfam family "Bacterial small subunit ribosomal RNA", at positions 505 to 796 of the family's 1533-position model. The record is from RNAcentral.